GAUGAAGAACGUAGCGAAAUGCGAUACGUAAUGUGAAUUGCAGAAUUCAGUGAAUCAUCGAGUCUUUGAACGCACAUUGCGCCCCCUGGUAUUCCGGGGGGCAUGCCUGUCCGAGCGUCAUUGCUGCCCUCAAGCACGGCUUGUGUGUUGGGCCUCCGUCCUCCUCCCGGGGGACGGGCCCGAAAGGCAGCGGCGGCACCGCGUCCGGUCCUCGAGCGUAUGGGGCUUCGUCACCCGCUCUUGUAGGCCCGGCCGGCGCUUGCCGAUCAACCAAACUUUUUUCCAGGUUGACCUCGGAUCAGGUAGGGAUACCCGCUGAACUUAAGCAUAUCAAUAAGCGGAGGA
This 345-nucleotide unclassified non-coding RNA is filed under the name soil metagenome. RNAcentral describes it as "partial contains 5.8S ribosomal RNA, internal transcribed spacer 2, and large subunit ribosomal RNA". The stretch from base 1 to 120 matches the Rfam family "5.8S ribosomal RNA", at positions 35 to 154 of the family's 154-position model. The record is from RNAcentral.